Molecule: ribosomal RNA, 460 nt
Filed under: uncultured bacterium
Lineage: Bacteria
Description: partial 16S ribosomal RNA
Rfam family: Bacterial small subunit ribosomal RNA
Source: RNAcentral
CCUACGGGUGGCAGCAGUGAGGAAUAUUGGUCAAUGGGCGCGAGCCUGAACCAGCCAAGUAGCGUGAAGGAUGACUGCCCUACGGGUUGUAAACUUCUUUUAUCAAGGAAUAAAGUGAGGCACGUGUGCCUUUUUGUAUGUACUUUAUGUAUAAGGAUCGGCUAACUCCGUGCCAGCAGCCGCGGUAAUACGGAGGAUCCGAGCGUUAUCCGGAUUUAUUGGGUUUAAAGGGGGCGUAGAUGGGUUGUUAAGUCAGGUGUGAAAGUUUGCGGCUCAACCGUAAAAGUGCCAUUGAUACUGGCAGCCUUGAGUACAGUUGAGGUAGGAGGAAUGCGUGGUGUAGCGGUGAAAUGCAUAGAUAUCACGCAGAACUCCGAUUGCGAAGGCAGCUUACGAAACUGCCACUGACAUUGAUGCUCGAAAGUGUGGGUAUCAAACAGGAUUAGAUACCCCAGUAGUC